CCCUCGGGGCCCGAGUUGUAAUUUGUAGAGGGUGCUUUGGCGUCGGCACCGGCCUAAGUUCCUUGGAACAGGACCUCAUAGAGGGUGAGAAUCCCGUAUGUGGCCGGCCGCCUCCGCCGUGUAAAGCCCCUUCGACGAGUCGAGUUGUUUGGGAAUGCAGCUCUAAAUGGGAGGUAAAUUCCUUCUAAAGCUAAAUACCGGCCAGAGACCGAUAGCGCACAAGUAGAGUGAUCGAAAGAUGAAAAGCACUUUGGAAAGAGAGUCAAAAAGCACGUGAAAUUGUUGAAAGGGAAGCGCUUGCAGCCAGACUUGCCUGUAGCUGCUCACCCGGGCUCUUGCCCGGUGCACUCUUCUACGGGCAGGCCAGCAUCAGUUUGGGCGGCCGGACAAAGGCCCCGGGAACGUAGCUCUCUUCGGGGAGUGUUAUAGCCCGGGGUGCCAUGCGGCCAGCCCGGACUGAGGUCCGCGCAUCUGCUAGGAUGCUGGCGUAAUGGCUGUAAGCGGCCCGUCUUGAAACACGGACCAAGGAGUCUAACAUCUAUGCGAGUGUUUGGGUGUCAAGCCCGGGCGCGCAAUGAAAGUGAACGGAGGUGGGAACCCCCCCGGGGUGCACCAUCGACCGAUCCUGAUGUCUUCGGAUGGAUUUGAGUAAGAGCAUAGCUGUUGGGACCCGAAAGAUGGUGAACUAUGCCUGAAUAGGGUGAAGCCAGAGGAAACUCUGGUGGAGGCUCGCAGCGGUUCUGACGUGCAAAUCGAUCGUCAAAUUUGGGCAUAGGGGCGAAAGACUAAUCGAACUAUCUAGUAGCUGGUUCCUGCCGAAGUUUCCCUCAGGAUAGCAGUAACGUUUUCAGUUUUAUGAGGUAAAGCGAAUGAUUAGAGGCCUGGGGGUUGAAACAACCUUCACCUAUUCUCAAACUUUAAAUAUGUAAGAAGUCCUUGUUACUUAAUUGAACGUGGACAUUUGAAUGUACCGUUACUAGUGGGCCAUUUUUGGUAAGCAGAACUGGCGAUGCGGGAUGA
This 1020-nucleotide ribosomal RNA is filed under the name Pseudotetraploa yunnanensis. RNAcentral describes it as "Pseudotetraploa sp. XT-2023a partial large subunit ribosomal RNA". It matches the Rfam family "Eukaryotic large subunit ribosomal RNA", at positions 128 to 1166 of the family's 3401-position model. The record is from RNAcentral. Lineage: Eukaryota; Fungi; Ascomycota; Dothideomycetes; Pleosporales; Tetraplosphaeriaceae.